This 468-nucleotide ribosomal RNA is filed under the name uncultured bacterium. Its description in RNAcentral is "partial 16S ribosomal RNA". It matches the Rfam family "Bacterial small subunit ribosomal RNA", at positions 28 to 507 of the family's 1533-position model. The record is from RNAcentral.
GACGAACGCUGGCGGCGUGCUUAACACAUGCAAGUCGAACGGAAAGGCCUGCAGCUUGCUGCGGGUACUCGAGUGGCGAACGGGUGAGUAACACGUGGGUGAUCUGCCUUUCACUUCGGGAUAAGCUUGGGAAACUGGGUCUAAUACCGGAUAGGACAGCUGUCUAGUGUCAGUUGUGGAAAGUUUUUUCGGUGCUAGAUGGUCUCGCGGCCUAUCAGCUUGUUGGUGGGGUAAUGGCCUACCAAGGCGUCGACGGGUAGCCGGCCUGAGAGGGUGUACGGCCACAUUGGGACUGAGAUACGGCCCAGACUCCUACGGGAGGCAGUAGUGGGGAAUAUUGCACAAUGGGGGGAAGCCUGAUGCAGCGACGCUGCGUGCGGGAUGAAGUCCUUCGGGUUGUAAACUCCUUUCGACGGGGACGAAGCUUUUGUGACGGUACCUGUAUAAGAAGCCCCGGCUAACUACGUG